Small nucleolar RNA from Phodopus roborovskii (desert hamster), 106 nucleotides. RefSeq annotates it as small nucleolar RNA SNORA72. The transcript has a single exon. The record is from RefSeq and is a predicted model, not a curated record. Lineage: Eukaryota; Metazoa; Chordata; Mammalia; Rodentia; Cricetidae.
CUGCAAAUAUCCUGUUCUGAUCUGUAAUGAUCAGGACAGGCUAAACAUCUACUGGAGUCAGACCACACCUGUGCCCAGGUCUUGUUUUCAAAUGCUGGUGACAAGC